Molecule: long non-coding RNA, 962 nt
Filed under: Salmo salar (Atlantic salmon)
Lineage: Eukaryota; Metazoa; Chordata; Actinopteri; Salmoniformes; Salmonidae
Description: lncRNA (ENSSSAG00000103302.1)
Source: RNAcentral
CUGGGAGCAACAACAUGGAGUCGUGGUCAGAUUUGCCAAAAGGAGGGCGAGGGAGGGCUUUGUAUGCGUCGUGGAAGUUAGAGUAGCAAUGAUCAAGGAAUUCUAGGUCAGGUGAACAAGAGGACUUGAUUUCCUGUAUGUUUUUAUGAACACGACCACGAUUUGUUAAUACAUCCCCGCCUUGCUUCUUACUAGAGCUGUUUGUUUCUGUCGGCGCGAUGCAUGAAGAAACCGGGGGGCUGUACUGACUCUGAUAACGUAUCCCGAGUGAGUCAUGUUUCCGUGAAACAGAGAAUGUUACAAUUUCUGAUGUCUCUCUGGAAGGCAACCCUUGCUCGAAUUUCGUCUACCUUGUUGUGAAGAGACUGGACAUUGGUGAGUAGUAUAUUCGGGAGCGGUGAGCGAUGUGCCCGUCUAUGGAGCCUGAUCAGAAGACCGCUCCGUCUGCCCCUUCUGCGGCGCCAUUGUUUUGGGUCGCCUUCUGGGAUUUGAUCCGUUGUCCUGGGUGGUGGUCCAAACAGAGGAUCUGCUUCAGGAAAGUCGUAUUCCUGGUCGUAAUGUUGUUAUUAAGAAAGCAGCAGUAUGCAUGUGGCUGGCUGAGGCUCCAUGUUUAUCCACCUGGCUGGGUUGGCUGUCCUGCACCACACCUGGCUACUGGUCUUCCUCUCACGCCAGAUGUGGACUUAGUCACGGCCACGAAGAAUAGCCCCCGCUGAAGGUGAACCUGGCUGCAAUCAGUACCCAACCCUAACCUUUAAAUCCAGAUGCUUUUCCUCCCCUCCCGGCUGGUUGGAAGGUGCUCCCGCUGCCCUAAAGGUUAAUUGAUUUUCCUUCCCCUUGUGCAGCCUGCUCAAAUCACUCCAGGACAGGAGAUUGAGUAAUGGGGAAAUAUGCAUAGCAUGCUAUCCAUAUCCUAACAGCUUGUCGAGCAUAUGCCAUAUCCAGUGUUCAAUCUAAUCUGG